This 915-nucleotide ribosomal RNA is filed under the name uncultured archaeon. Its description in RNAcentral is "bacterial SSU rRNA". It matches the Rfam family "Archaeal small subunit ribosomal RNA", at positions 1 to 922 of the family's 1478-position model. The record is from RNAcentral.
UUCCGGUUGAUCCUGCCGGACCUGACUGCUAUCGGAUUGAUACUAAGCCAUGCGAGUCUUUGUAGUAAUACAAGGCAGACGGCUCAGUAACACGUAGUCAACCUACCCUAUGGACGAGAAUAAUCUCGGGAAACUGAGCAUAAUUCUUGAUAGAUCAUAAUGCCUGGAAUGGUUUAUGGUUAAAAUGAUUCGUCGCCAUAGGAUGGGACUGCGGCCUAUCAGCUUGUUGGUGAGGUAAUGGCCCACCAAGGCGAUUACAGGUACGGGCUCUGAGAGGAGAAGCCCGGAGAUGGGUACUGAGACACGGACCCAGGCCCUAUGGGGCGCAGCAGGCGAGAAAACUUUGCAAUGCGCGAAAGCACGACAAGGUUAAUCCGAGUGAUUUCUGCUAAAGAAAUCUUUUGCCAGUCGUAAAACCGCUGGUGAAUAAGGGGUGGGCAAGUUCUGGUGUCAGCCGCCGCGGUAAAACCAGCACCUCAAGUGGUCAGGAUGAUUAUUGGGCCUAAAGCAUCCGUAGCCGGCUUUGUAAGUUUUCGGUUAAAUCCAUGUGCUCAACGCAUGGGCUGCCGAAAAUACUGCAUAGCUAGGGAGUGGGAGAGGUAGACGGUACUCAGUAGGUAGGGGUAAAAUCCUUUGAUCUAUUGAUGACCACCUGUGGCGAAGGCGGUCUACCAGAACACGUUCGACGGUGAGGGAUGAAAGCUGGGGGAGCAAACCGGAUUAGAUACCCGGGUAGUCCCAGCUGUAAACGAUGCAGACUCGAUGAUGCAUUGGCAUAAUAGCCAUUGCAGUGUCGCAGGGAAGCCGUUAAGUCUGCCGCCUGGGAAGUACGUACGCAAGUAUGAAACUUAAAGGAAUUGGCGGGGGAGCACCACAAGGGGUGAAGCCUGCGGUUCAAUUGGAAUCAACGCCGGA